This 354-nucleotide unclassified non-coding RNA is filed under the name soil metagenome. Its description in RNAcentral is "partial contains 5.8S ribosomal RNA, internal transcribed spacer 2, and large subunit ribosomal RNA". The stretch from base 1 to 120 matches the Rfam family "5.8S ribosomal RNA", at positions 35 to 154 of the family's 154-position model. The record is from RNAcentral.
GAUGAAGAACGCAGCGAAAUGCGAUAAGUAAUGUGAAUUGCAGAAUUCAGUGAAUCAUCGAAUCUUUGAACGCACAUUGCGCCCGCCAGUAUUAUGGCGGGCAUGCCUGUUCGAGCGUCAUUACAACCCUCAGGCCCCCGGGCCUGGCGUUGGGGAUCGGCGGAAGCCCCCUGCGGGCACAACGCCGUCCCCCAAAUACAGUGGCGGUCCCGCCGCAGCUUCCAUUGCGUAGUAGCUAACACCUCGCAACUGGAGAGCGGCGCGGCCACGCCGUAAAACACCCAACUCUUCUGAAGUUGACCUCGAAUCAGGUAGGAAUACCCGCUGAACUUAAGCAUAUCAAUAAGCGGAGGA